CAGGGAAUCUUCGGCAAUGGGGGCAACCCUGACCGAGCAACGCCGCGUGAGUGAAGAAGGUUUUCGGAUCGUAAAGCUCUGUUGUAAGUCAAGAACGAGUGUGAGAGUGGAAAGUUCACACUGUGACGGUAGCUUACCAGAAAGGGACGGCUAACUACGUGCCAGCAGCCGCGGUAAUACGUAGGUCCCGAGCGUUGUCCGGAUUUAUUGGGCGUAAAGCGAGCGCAGGCGGUUUGAUAAGUCUGAAGUUAAAGGCUGUGGCUUAACCAUAGUACGCUUUGGAAACUGUUUAACUUGAGUGCAAAAGGGGAGAGUGGAAUUCCAUGUGUAGCGGUGAAAUGCGUAGAUAUAUGGAGGAACGCCGGUGGCGAAAGCGGCUCUCUGGUCUGUAACUGACGCUGAGGCUCGAAAGCGUGGGGAGCGAACAGGAUUAGAUACCCUGGUAGUCCACGCCGUAACGAUGAGUGCUAGGUGUUGGAUCCUUUCCGGGAUUCAGUGCCGCAGCUAACGCAUUAAGCACUCCGCCUGGGGAGUACGACCGCAAGGUUG
This 549-nucleotide ribosomal RNA is filed under the name uncultured bacterium. RNAcentral describes it as "bacterial SSU rRNA". It matches the Rfam family "Bacterial small subunit ribosomal RNA", at positions 355 to 896 of the family's 1533-position model. The record is from RNAcentral.